AUGGGGAGCUGUGUGCUGAGAACAGCAGGGGGCGCUGGGGGACUGCCCCGUGAACCAUACACACCUGCUCAGGAAGGACCAGUCACUCCAAGGAGCCUGGGCCUCAGGGAUGGGCCUGUGCUCACUGAUGGGAACUCAGAAGCUGUGUCCUCUCUGGCCUGGCACAGUCCCCUGACCAGGGACCUUUCUCCUGUCCUCCUUGUGCUCCUGUCUCACUACUCAGGUUCCCUCUCCCAGCCUGGGCUGACUCAGCCGCCCUCCCUCUCUGCCUCUCCUGGAGCAUCAGCCAGACUUACCUGCACCCUGAGCAGUGGCUUCAGUGUUGGGAACUUCUGGAUACGCUGGUAUCAGCAGAAUCCAGGGAGUCCUUUAUGGUAUCUCCUGAGUUCCAAGUCAGACUCAGAUAAGCACCAGGGCUACGGAGUCCCCAACCGCUUCUCUGGAUCCAAAGAUGUGUCGGCCAAUGCAGGGAUCCUGCACAUCUCUGGGCUGCAGGCCGAGGACGAGGCUGACUAUUACUGUGGUACAUAUCAUGGCAAUUCUGACAGUUACACAGUGCUUCAGCCACACGAAGAAAGAGCUGAGGAGGAGAUCAAAGAACCAUCCCAGAGUCCAGAAACAGUGUGGGUCUGGAGGAUUGUUGGAAAGUCCACACCAUGGCCUGGACUCUUCCUCCUCACUCUUUGCCCAGGCUGUGAUGACUGA
This is a non-coding RNA of Nycticebus coucang (slow loris), 705 nucleotides long. NCBI's taxonomy places the organism in Eukaryota, Metazoa, Chordata, Mammalia, Primates, Lorisidae. The record is from the annotation of a RefSeq genome assembly.